RNAcentral lists this ribosomal RNA (436 nucleotides) under Chaetocnema rufofemorata. Its description in RNAcentral is "partial 16S large subunit ribosomal RNA". Lineage: Eukaryota; Metazoa; Arthropoda; Insecta; Coleoptera; Chrysomelidae. The record is from RNAcentral.
GGCCUUUUGUAAAAUUUUUAAGGUCUGGCCUGCCCACUGAUAACUUAUUGAAGGGCCGCAGUAUUUUGACUGUGCUAAGGUAGCAUAAUCAUUAGUUUUUUAAUUGAAAGCUAGUAUGAAAGGUUUAAUGAAAAAAUUACUGUCUUUAAUUAAUUUAAUUAGAAUUUUAUUUUUAAGUUAAAAAGCUUAAAUGGUUUUAAAAGACGAGAAGACCCUAUAGAGUUUGAUAUAUUAAAAAUUAUUUAAUUUUAGAAUUUUUAUUAUAUAUUUUUUAAUAUAUUUAAUUGGGGUGAUUAAAAAAUUUAAAAAACUUUUUUUUUAUAAGAAUAUAAAUUAAUAAGUAAAUGAUCCAGAUUUUUUGAUUAUAAGAAUAAAUUACCUUAGGGAUAACAGCGUAAUUUUAUUAGAGAGUUCAAAUCGAUAAUAAAGAUUGCGA